UGGGGAAUUUUGGACAAUGGGCGCAAGCCUGAUCCAGCCAUACCGCGUGAGUGAAGAAGGCCUUCGGGUUGUAAAGCUCUUUCAGACGGAAAGAAACGGUUACGGCUAAUACCCGUGACUAAUGACGGUACCGUAAGAAGAAGCACCGGCUAACUACGUGCCAGCAGCCGCGGUAAUACGUAGGGUGCGAGCGUUAAUCGGAAUUACUGGGCGUAAAGCGUGCGCAGGCGGUUUGGUAAGACAGAUGUGAAAUCCCCGGGCUUAACCUGGGAACUGCAUUUGUGACUGCCAGACUAGAGUGUAGCAGAGGGGGGUAGAAUUCCACGUGUAGCAGUGAAAUGCGUAGAUAUGUGGAGGAAUACCGAUGGCGAAGGCAGCCCCCUGGGCUAACACUGACGCUCAUGCACGAAAGCGUGGGGAGCGAAACAGGAUUAGAUACCCAAGUAGUCCCUGAGCGGGCUGGCAAGGCGCAU
This 473-nucleotide ribosomal RNA is filed under the name uncultured bacterium. RNAcentral's name for it is "bacterial SSU rRNA". It matches the Rfam family "Bacterial small subunit ribosomal RNA", at positions 355 to 825 of the family's 1533-position model. The record is from RNAcentral.